CAUCUUUAAGGUUCCCCCUUAAAACAAAUAUAUUUGGAAAAGAGAAGAACAUUAAGUUGUGACAGCACUCGGACUGUCAAGGUUGGUUGGGCGAUAUUUUGUAGCUGGGAGCUGCCAAUCCUAUCAUUAUUUCUGGAUUUCACUAGCUUGUAUAUUAUAGCAGAAACUGAAUUCACGAGAGGGCGAAAGUAUGGCUAGUACUGAGCCUGAGGUUAGACAUUUAGGAUGUUUCUGCUCUGUACAUUUGGUAUCUCUUCCAUUUUAUUUAUACGAUGAGGGUGCAAAUGAGUUGAAACCGAA
Long non-coding RNA from Capsicum annuum, 300 nucleotides. RefSeq lists it as uncharacterized. The record is from RefSeq and is a predicted model, not a curated record. NCBI's taxonomy places the organism in Eukaryota, Viridiplantae, Streptophyta, Magnoliopsida, Solanales, Solanaceae. The transcript has 2 exons.